GUGAACGCUGGCGGUAGGCCUAACACAUGCAAGUCGAACGGCAGCACAGUAAGAGCUUGCUCUUACGGGUGGCGAGUGGCGGACGGGUGAGGAAUACAUCGGAAUCUACUUUUUCGUGGGGGAUAACGUAGGGAAACUUACGCUAAUACCGCAUACGACCUACGGGUGAAAGCAGGGGAUCUUCGGACCUUGCGCGAUUGAAUGAGCCGAUGUCGGAUUAGCUAGUUGGCGGGGUAAAGGCCCACCAAGGCGACGAUCCGUAGCUGGUCUGAGAGGAUGAUCAGCCACACUGGAACUGAGACACGGUCCAGACUCCUACGGGAGGCAGCAGUGGGGAAUAUUGGACAAUGGGCGCAAGCCUGAUCCAGCCAUGCCGCGUGGGUGAAGAAGGCCUUCGGGUUGUAAAGCCCUUUUGUUGGGAAAGAAAAGCAGCAGGUUAAUACCCCGCUGUUCUGACGGUACCCAAAGAAUAAGCACCGGCUAACUUCGUG
This 491-nucleotide ribosomal RNA is filed under the name uncultured bacterium. RNAcentral describes it as "partial 16S ribosomal RNA". It matches the Rfam family "Bacterial small subunit ribosomal RNA", at positions 29 to 507 of the family's 1533-position model. The record is from RNAcentral.